AUACAUGCAAGUCGAGGGAGAUUCUUUUUUCGAAAGGAUGAACCGGCGAACGGGUGAGUAACGCGUACACUACCUACCUUAUACUGAGGAAUAGCCUUUGGAAACGAAGAUUAAUACCUCAUAGUCUCGUAAGAGUAAAGCUCCGGCGGUAUAAGAUGGGUGUGCGUCUGAUUAGCUUGUUGGUAAGGUAAUGGCUUACCAAGGCGACGAUCAGUAGGGGGCGUGAGAGCGUGAUCCCCCACACGGGUACUGAG
Molecule: ribosomal RNA, 254 nt
Filed under: uncultured bacterium
Lineage: Bacteria
Description: partial 16S ribosomal RNA
Rfam family: Bacterial small subunit ribosomal RNA
Source: RNAcentral